UAAUAUAAGGAGGGGCAUUAUCUGU
This 25-nucleotide non-coding RNA is filed under the name Rattus norvegicus (Norway rat). The record is from RNAcentral. Lineage: Eukaryota; Metazoa; Chordata; Mammalia; Rodentia; Muridae.